Molecule: ribosomal RNA, 415 nt
Filed under: uncultured bacterium
Lineage: Bacteria
Description: bacterial SSU rRNA
Rfam family: Bacterial small subunit ribosomal RNA
Source: RNAcentral
GGGCCCGCACAAGCGGUGGAGCAUGUGGUUUAAUUCGAUGCAACGCGAAGAACCUUACCAGGGUUUGACAUGAUACGAAUUUCUUUGAAACGAGAGAGUGCCUUCGGGAGCGCAGUGACAGGUGGUGCAUGGCUGUCGUCAGCUCGUGUCGUGAGAUGUUGGGUUAAGUCCCGCAACGAGCGCAACCCACGUCGUUAGUUGCCAGCAUUUAGUUGGGCACUCUAGCGAGACCGCCGGUGAUAAACCGGAGGAAGGUGUGGAUGACGUCAAGUCAUCAUGCCCCUUACAUCCUGGGCUACACACGUACUACAAUGCUACGGACAAAGGGCAGCAAACUCGCGAGAGCUAGCAAAUCCCAUAAACCGUGGCUCAGUUCAGAUCGUAGGCUGCAACUCGCCUACGUGUAGGAGGAAUC